GGCGUUGUGGCUCAAGUGGUAGAGCACUUGCUUUGCAAGCCUGAGGCCCUGGGUUCGAUUCCUCAGUACCA
Molecule: transfer RNA, 71 nt
Filed under: Dipodomys ordii (Ord's kangaroo rat)
Lineage: Eukaryota; Metazoa; Chordata; Mammalia; Rodentia; Heteromyidae
Rfam family: tRNA
About the family: Transfer RNA (tRNA) molecules are approximately 80 nucleotides in length.
Source: Rfam by way of RNAcentral